AUUCUCCAUGAAGUUCUGAGCUGCGAGAGCCCAGCAACGCCCUGAACCCAGGCAGCCUGUGAGUAACUGCACAGCCAGGAAGCCAGGAAGCGCUGCUUUGAAGAGAUGGCAGUAUUACCCAUCAGCCUAACAGUUGUAUAUCGCUGCUGCUGAAAGAAUGACCUGCUGGUGCUGAAGAGGAAGCAUCCUGCCAGGAAGCAAAGGAGCAGACCCAUUAAUUCCCCAGCAGACAUGAAAAGUGAAGCUCCUAAACAAAGCAGAUGCCAACAAGAUUUUGUUGACAGGAGCCUGAUAUAGCUGUCUCCUGAGAGGCUCUGCCAGUGCCUGGCAAAUACAAUGGAGGAGCUAAAGAAAGGACCCAAGGAACUGAAGGGGUUUACAGCCUGAUAGGAAGACCAAUCAUAUGAACUAACCAGUACCCCCAGAGCUCCCUGGGACUAAAUCACCAAUCAAAGAAAACACAUGGUGGGACUCAUGCCUCUAGUUGCAUAUGUAGCAGAGGAUGGCCUAGUAGGCCAUCAAUGGGAGGAGAGGCCCUUGGUCCUGUGAAGGCUCUAUGCCCCAGUAUAGGGGAAUGCCAGGGCCAGGAAGCAGUAGUGUGUGGUUUGGGGAGCAGGGGCAGGGGGAAUGGGAUAGGGGAUUUUUGGAGGGGAAACUAGGAAAGGGAAUAACAUUUGAAAUGUAAAUAAAGAAAAUAUCUAAUUAAAUAAAAGGGGAGGGAAGAAAAUUCUUACCAAUCUGUGGUUGUACAUUGAGAGGUUUCAUUGAGAAACAUGGCAAAGAAGGAAAGAUAUCUUGUUUUAUUUUUUUAUUUUUAACAGUGAUCAACUUGGACCUUGUCAAGCACAUUCUGGAGCUGCAUUUACAGACAGGGAGGAUGAUGUAUAUGCAGACCUCCUGAGAUCUUCUUGUUGAGUCUGACAUGCAUCCCACAUGACCUGGAGUAGGCAGGAAUAAUCCUAACUUUAACCCACCUGCUAGCCUUGCUGGUUUAUUGGUGACUAAGGUGGGCUUUGUGAUAGCCAGUUUAUACUCAGAGAUGAUGUGAAGGAGAUCAAAGGUACUUUAAAGAGGGCUUUCUGUCAGGAGCAAGAGGAAGACCUUUCAUGAACCUAGAAACAAUUUUCUUGAUGUAGAGGACUGAAGGCCACAGAGCUGUUGCAAGUCUGCAGGCAGCUAGCACUCCAAGGUCUGGAAAGGUAUAGUCUUCAGAGCUCUCAAUCAAAACAGAUAUAGCUGAGAAAUCCGUAAAAGAGCUAGAGGGCAAAUUAAAAGUCUGAUGGAUCUCAGAACAUUUUCUGCCCACAAUCACUCUGUGCCACUUUAAUUUUUUCAUUCUGACAGGGUCAGAAAGGAGGGAAAGUAG
RNAcentral lists this long non-coding RNA (1366 nucleotides) under Mus caroli (Ryukyu mouse). Its description in RNAcentral is "lncRNA (MGP_CAROLIEiJ_G0003333.1)". The record is from RNAcentral. Lineage: Eukaryota; Metazoa; Chordata; Mammalia; Rodentia; Muridae.